Molecule: ribosomal RNA, 427 nt
Filed under: Bacillota bacterium
Lineage: Bacteria; Bacillati; Bacillota
Description: Firmicutes bacterium partial 16S ribosomal RNA
Rfam family: Bacterial small subunit ribosomal RNA
Source: RNAcentral
UCGGGAAUUUUGGGCAAUGGGCGAAAGCCUGACCCAGCAACGCCGCGUGAAGGAUGAAAUCCCUCGGGAUGUAAACUUCGCAAGAACGGGAAGAAUAAGUAGGGGACAAUACCCCCUAUGAUGACGGUACCGUUUGUAAGCUCCGGCUAACUCCGUGCCAGCAGCCGCGGUAAUACGGGGGGAGCAAGCGUUGUUCGGAUUUACUGGGCGUAAAGGGCGCGUAGGCGGUCAGCACAAGUCAGUUGUGAAAUCUCCGAGCUUAACUCGGAAAGGUCAACUGAUACGGUGAGACUAGAGUGCAGAAGGGGCAACUGGAAUUCUCGGUGUAGCGGUGAAAUGCGUAGAUAUCGAGAGGAACACCUGCGGCGAAGGCGGGUUGCUGGGCUGACACUGACGCGGAGGCGCGAAAGCUAGGGGAGCGAACGGG